Molecule: ribosomal RNA, 457 nt
Filed under: uncultured bacterium
Lineage: Bacteria
Description: partial 16S ribosomal RNA
Rfam family: Bacterial small subunit ribosomal RNA
Source: RNAcentral
CCUACGGGAGGCAGCAGUGGGGAAUAUUGCACAAUGGGGGAAACCCUGAUGCAGCGACGCCGCGUGAGUGAAGAAGUAUUUCGGUAUGUAAAGCUCUAUCAGCAGGGAAGAAACCCACCCUCCGGGGUGGCUGACGGUACCUGACUAAGAAGCCCCGGCUAACUACGUGCCAGCAGCCGCGGUAAUACGUAGGGGGCAAGCGUUAUGCGGAUUUACUGGGUGGAAAGGGAGCGUAGACGGCAAGGCAAGCCAGAAGUGAAAGGGCAGGGGUUAACCCUGUACAUGCUUUUGGAACUGGGGUGCUAGAGUGGAGGAGAGGUAAGUGGAAUUCCUGGUGUAGCGGUGAAAUGCGUAGAUAUUAGGAGGAACACCAGUGGCGAAGGCGGCUUACUGGACUGUAACUGACGUUGAGGCGCGAAAGCGUGGGGAGCAAACAGGAUUAGAUACCCUAGUAGUC